Molecule: non-coding RNA, 2556 nt
Organism: Camellia sinensis
Lineage: Eukaryota; Viridiplantae; Streptophyta; Magnoliopsida; Ericales; Theaceae
Source: RefSeq, a predicted model, not a curated record
AACAAACAUUUGGAGAAGUAAAGAAAAAAAAAAAAAAAAGAAGUGAGAGAAACAGAGAGAGAGAACCGAAAGAGAGGAAGAAGUGGACUCAAUUCUUUUUCUUCUUCAGGAAAUGUGUUUGCUAAAUACGAUUUAGAGAGGGACAGAAGAACUGAGAGAGAGAGAGAGAGAGAGAGAGAGUACUCAAACCACUGUGUUGUAAAAAGCUUUGGAGAAGUGGGUUCAAGAGAUCUAAGGAAGAAAAGAGAGGGAACUCAAGGAAUCAAAAAAAAAAAUUCAGCCAUUGAAGACUUAAGAUGGCAGAUGACGCUCCCCACGAUGGAGGUUCUCCAGGGAUGGAAGGAGAGCUUGAGUACAUACCGUUUCCGCCCAGAGUGCGACCUUUUGACCCUGAGAGGUACCGCCCGAGGCACAUGCAUUACCAUCCAGUACAGUCCGUCAUUUCAGCAGAUUUGCAUGACACGCACCAGCAGAUCUCCUGCUACGAGAGCUAGAUUCUCACCUGUCCCACGGUGCCUCUGAGGUAGACUCCCAUUUUACCUGCGGAUAUGAGUCCACCGCAGCGGACAUGGACCUCCCCGACGGCGUUCGACAGAUCAUUGAUGAGGCGGGGUUCGGUUUGUUUUGCAUGGGGCUGUCGUACCUCAUGGUGAAUAGGACCCUCUUAGGCGCACUGGUAGAGAGAUGGUGGGAUACCACCAACACCUUCCAUUUCUCUACCACUGGGGAUAUGACGAUGACCCCAUAUGAUUUCGCCAUGUUGACGGGCCUUGAGGUGGGAGGCCGACCGAUCCCAUACGACUUCAAUAUGGAUAAGUGAGAGGCCACUUGGACCUAUUUGCUGGGAGCACACCCGCCUAUCUUCCAAUUAGGGAUGGUCCGAUAUACUUGGUUCCCAGACCACUUCAGAGGGACAGACCCAUCGAUUGUAAAGAGGACUGAGUAGUAUGCCCGAAGUUUCCUGAUGUUCCUCUUCGGCACUAUCUUGUUCGUUGACAGGGCGAACACAGUCGGAGAAAAUCUUUUGAGCACCUUAGUGGACUUAUCCCAGGUUUGGCAUUAUGAUUGGGAUGGUGCUGGCCUCACUACUCUGUACUGCUACAUGAGCUCGACCUCCCGGGGGAGCGAGAACAGAGUACGCGGCUAUUGGAGAGCUUGGGAGCUAUGGGUGUACGCCUAUUUCCCGGAGCUUGCUCCAGAGCCAGAGGUUGAGACGCCUCUUGAGGUGCCAUACUCGUAUCGAUACGACGGUCGGUGCUAGCCGAGGACACAUGAGACCCUCUUAUUCCUUCACCAGUACUUCGACACGGUGAUGACGGUAGAGGUAAUUCAAAAUUCACAGUUCUUCCUGCUUUCAGCUCCAAUUCAUUUUACAUAUCUAAUGGCAACUCAACAAUCUAUGCACUUGCUGUCUGCAAAUCAUAUGGCUGCCCUGGGCGAUGAUGCCAGAGGGUGUUAGGUUUCAGUUUGCCAGAGCUUGGGGCGCUUCUCGGUAUCGACUCUUGCUUGAGGGGCCAAUAGGCCGAGCCUGGUUUCUAGGCGAGUGCUUCAUGCGCCAAACGCUGGGUCUGCCGUUACAGUCGGUUCCCUUACCACCUUCGCCUUCUAUGUGAGUCGCAGAGAGUCUCUCCCCUUAGGAGAUCAUUGACUUCAUGCGGGGUGGAGAUGUAGACCUUUUCAUUGGGGAGGGGGACUAUACGACUUAUCUCCAGAUGUACCUCAUGCCUCCUCUGACAGGUGUUCAUGCUCACACAGGGAGGGCAGUUGAUAUCCCUUCGUCGAGCAGGGCCCGAGUAACAGAUGCCCCUUCGACGAGCAGGGCCCGGGCACCGAGGAGUAGGGCUAGAGGGAUACCCCAUGCUAGGUAGAGUUUUGGAUGGCCAGACCUUCCGACCGAGCUGACAGGUUGACAGUACUCUGGAGAGGCUUAUCAAAUCCCGAUUGAGCCUCCGUUGCCUAGUCACAGAUAUGUCAGGACACCCGAUUCACAACCGCCCUCCACCGGAUACGUCGAGGGGUUACUCGAGGUGUUGUCCUCAUUCGAGGGCAUUAUCUUGAAGAGAAAGACGAUGCUUGGCUCUCACAGCAUUUAGGUCACACAUCUACAAACAGGACCAUUAGAGCCUUCUCUAGUAGCAGGGAGAGAGAUUUCGGCACGCGGCUGAGGGAGACGUCGGGAGCCUGUCAUGCAUGAUGAUGAGACCAGUGAGGACGAGGAUCUAGCGAGUCCCUAGUCAGAGUCAUCUGAGGGUGGAGACGACGGCACCGGCUCGGGUUUUGAGAGUGGUGACGAUGUUGAGGAGGAAUCCCAGGAUAGGAGCGGAGGCAGCUCUGGUUCAGGUUCUGGCUCAGAUUCGGACAGUGGCGCCGAGGGUGAUAGCUCUGAGUCCAUGCCCAAGAAGAGGACGAAAAGGGCCUCUCGAUCCUGAGAUGGGUGGCACCGAUUUAGACGUUUUUUUGCCUUGUUUCUCUUUUUGCUAGUAGUGUUAGCACAUUGUACAACCUUAGGUAGUUUCAUUUUCUUUAAAACUUGUACUCUUUGUAGAAAGAAACCAU